GACGAACGCUGGCGGCGUGCUUAACACAUGCAAGUCGAACGGUGAAGCCCUUCGGGGUGGAUCAGUGGCGAACGGGUGAGUAACACGUGAGCAACCUGCCCCUGGCUCUGGGACAACCACUGGAAACGGUGGCUAAUACCGGAUACGACCCGCCUCGGCAUCGAGUGUGGGUGGAAAGUUUUUCGGCUGGGGAUGGGCUCGCGGCCUAUCAGCUUGUUGGUGAGGUGAAGGCUCACCAAGGCGACGACGGGUAGCCGGCCUGAGAGGGCGACCGGCCACACUGGGACUGAGACACGGCCCAGACUCCUACGGGAGGCAGCAGUGGGGAAUAUUGCACAAUGGGCGAAAGCCUGAUGCAGCGACGCCGCGUAAGGGAUGACGGCCUUCGGGUUGUAAACCUCUUUCAGCUCCGAAGAAGCGAAAGUGACGGUAGGAGCAGAAGAAGCACCGGCUAACUACGUG
Molecule: ribosomal RNA, 462 nt
Filed under: uncultured bacterium
Lineage: Bacteria
Description: partial 16S ribosomal RNA
Rfam family: Bacterial small subunit ribosomal RNA
Source: RNAcentral